CAAAUCACAAGGUCAUUUAGUUGCAGAACUGGGACAGGAAUUCAUGCCCAGUUCUCUUUUCAAAACCCUGUGGAAAAAAGAAGCACAUUGAAUUUAGCCUUUGAUUCGUCAUCAGCAUUAUCAGAGAUGAGGUGCAUUUUUUUUAAGAGAAAUGUUGGAAACAACCUACUGAAGAAAGGCUAAGACUCCUACAUCAGAUUACCAAUGCACUUUGUCAUAAAUAUUUCAGAAUGCCUAUGAGAAAAAGAAUAAAGCUAAAUCAAGUCCAGAAUACAGAGACAAAUCACUGCUGCAUUGACAGAGUUCUCAACAUUCAUCAAAUUAUACAAUAGUCAGAGGAGUUUCCUGUGGAUAUAAGGUCCAUUUGAAUCCUUAAGAAAAAGAGUGGAUAUUGAAGAAAUAUGUUCUUUAUUCUGAGCAGAAAGGCCAGCAAAAAAGAUAAUGGAUUUGCCAAAAUAUAUCAGGACAAUACUAUUAGCCAUAGGUAAUUGGAUGAUAAAAAUUGCUGUUACCUUUAUGUGCUUUUGAAACUCUACAUGAUUUUCUUUGCAAAAAGGUCAUUAAUAAAAAAUUGCAUAAUUUAAUGGGUUUCAUCUCAUUUUUGUAGUUCAAAUCAAUCACCUCAAUGGCAAUCAG
Molecule: long non-coding RNA, 636 nt
Filed under: Homo sapiens (human)
Lineage: Eukaryota; Metazoa; Chordata; Mammalia; Primates; Hominidae
Description: HSALNT0063759
Source: RNAcentral